This is a long non-coding RNA of Cyprinodon variegatus (sheepshead minnow), 343 nucleotides long. RefSeq lists it as uncharacterized. The transcript is spliced from 3 exons. NCBI's taxonomy places the organism in Eukaryota, Metazoa, Chordata, Actinopteri, Cyprinodontiformes, Cyprinodontidae. The record is from RefSeq and is a predicted model, not a curated record.
GCUGGAGAGAUAUCGAUGGCCACCCUCCACGCCAGAGAGGCCAGAAGGAAGCACUCGACCAGCUGCUUGGACAGAUUAAAGAAGCUCAUCGUCACUGUGCCUGCCAUGAGCAAUGCAAAGCUCCAGCACAAGGUAGGAAGCACUCUGUAUCCAAAAGCCUUCGGCACCUCUUCCAACCCACCAGCAAAUUCGUCAAAAGCUUGAAAAGAGGUCUCUAUCUUACCUCCAUAUUCUACAGAGAUGACAAUGUGUUGGUGACUCCAGAAGAUCAGAUUCCUAUUGUGGAGAUAGAAGAUUCAUAUUCCAGCACUCUUAUGCAGGACUUUCUUUGGUUUACUAAGGU